UGGAAUGAAUUGAGACAACCUUGAAUGAAGC
This 31-nucleotide non-coding RNA is filed under the name Mus musculus (house mouse). Lineage: Eukaryota; Metazoa; Chordata; Mammalia; Rodentia; Muridae. The record is from RNAcentral.